Molecule: ribosomal RNA, 255 nt
Filed under: uncultured bacterium
Lineage: Bacteria
Description: partial 16S ribosomal RNA
Rfam family: Bacterial small subunit ribosomal RNA
Source: RNAcentral
UACGAAGGGGGCUAGCGUUGCUCGGAUUUACUGGGCGUAAAGGGCGCGUAGGCGGACAGUUAAGUCGGGGGUGAAAGCCCGGGGCUCAACCUCGGAAUUGCCUUCGAUACUGGCUGUCUUGAGUGUGAGAGAGGUGUGUGGAACUCCGAGUGUAGAGGUGAAAUUCGUAGAUAUUCGGAAGAACACCAGUGGCGAAGGCGACACACUGGCUCACUACUGACGCUGGAGGCGCGAAAAGCGUGGGGAGCAAACAGG